AUGAAUGGGGAUGACUUCUGCUUCUUAAAAGGACUAUCACUUGCAACCUCUGCUCCCUCCAGCUAUAGACAAAGGCUACCUUUGACCUCCCCAGCUUGUUCAGCACCACCUGCUACCCAGGCACACCUGGAUCCACUGCUGAGUUUCCUAGGUGUUGGACAAUGCUGGAACCAAGAACCUCCGAGCACGUUUCAUCCUCUGGUUUCCCUGAAACUUUCAGUUACACCCUGA
Molecule: long non-coding RNA, 231 nt
Filed under: Zonotrichia albicollis (white-throated sparrow)
Lineage: Eukaryota; Metazoa; Chordata; Aves; Passeriformes; Passerellidae
Description: lncRNA (ENSZALG00000007352.1)
Source: RNAcentral